Photinus pyralis (common eastern firefly) is the source of this 518-nucleotide long non-coding RNA. RefSeq lists it as uncharacterized. The record is from RefSeq and is a predicted model, not a curated record. Lineage: Eukaryota; Metazoa; Arthropoda; Insecta; Coleoptera; Lampyridae. The transcript is spliced from 4 exons.
GGAAGAGUCAGUCCGUAGAAACUUGAAAGGGUGGUCAUUUUCUAGGCUCAGACAUCUUCAUAGGAAAUUGGAUUGAGUGUGGUAAUGGUUAAUGUUGUGAUGGUCGCGAAUAGUUUAUGAUGGAUUUUCCCAUCACUUGUCCUGGAAAUCUACCGAAAAAAUUUUAUGUGAAAAAACACCUUUUGAGAUAACGAAAAAUUUCGACACGUUAUAAGAGACUGAACACAAUCUGUCAUUAACUUCACCAGUGAUUGUGCGAAAAAAACAAGCUCGAGAUGGAUAUAUAAAACCGAAGCUCUGAAAGCAAUUUGUAUUGUACAAAAUGAUGUACUACAGGAGUGUUCUAGUGUUGGUGCUGUUAGGCGCGGCGUGGGUUAACGCUCAAAUACUCAGCAAGCUCAAAUUGUGCUCGCAAUCGGAUCCCAAAUUUAAAGAAUGCCUUAAGGACGCGAUUCCCAAGGGAUUGGCCUUGCUGGGUGCAGGUAAGUGAUCUGAUAAGGUACGCUUACUCUCACCUG